GAAGCAGGCCGGGCGAUCGCCGUCGCGGAUUUUUCCGCGGCGGAGGAAAGUCGGGACUCCACAGGGCAGCGUAGCGGGUAACGCCCGUCCGCCGUGAGGCGCGGAUCAGAGGAACAGAGACGAGCCGGUUGAGUCCGGGUGAAACGGCCAAUCUCUACGCGGAGCAACACCAAAUAGGCAGGCGACGACGGGGCCCCCCGAGCCUGCGGGUAGGUGGCUCGAGCGCCGCGGCAACGCGUCGCCAAGAGGAAUGAUCGUCAUAUUGCCGCGAGGCAGUAACAGAAUCCCGCUUACAGGCUUGCUUCACAC
This 309-nucleotide RNase P RNA is filed under the name Burkholderiales bacterium. RNAcentral describes it as "RNase P RNA component class A". It matches the Rfam family "Bacterial RNase P class A". From Rfam's summary of the family: Ribonuclease P (RNase P) is a ubiquitous endoribonuclease, found in archaea, bacteria and eukarya as well as chloroplasts and mitochondria. Its best characterised activity is the generation of mature 5'-ends of tRNAs by cleaving the 5'-leader elements of precursor-tRNAs. Cellular RNase Ps are ribonucleoproteins. Lineage: Bacteria; Pseudomonadati; Pseudomonadota; Betaproteobacteria; Burkholderiales. The record is from RNAcentral.